GUGCCCGUAGCCCAGCUGGAUAGAGCGACAGACUCCGACUCUGUAGGCCGCACGUUCGAAUCGUGUCGGGCACGCCA
This 77-nucleotide transfer RNA is filed under the name Clostridium sp. RNAcentral describes it as "tRNA-Arg". It matches the Rfam family "tRNA". Rfam says of the family: Transfer RNA (tRNA) molecules are approximately 80 nucleotides in length. Their secondary structure includes four short double-helical elements and three loops (D, anti-codon, and T loops). The record is from RNAcentral. RNAcentral also lists the same sequence under 7 other names. Lineage: Bacteria; Bacillati; Bacillota; Clostridia; Eubacteriales; Clostridiaceae.